GAGGACGUCCUCUUGCACAAGCCUGGGUCCUGUUGCUGUCUCCCCACGCGUGGCUGCGAGUCCCAGGAAUCCCGGCUCCUGGGCCUCCCUGCCAACUUCUUUUCAUGCCGUGGCAGCAAUAUUAAGAAAGGAACCACUCCCUCUUGAGCAUGAGGAAAUCCUCCAGGACUGUGAAUCUGCUAACACAGAUAGGACUGGAGGAUUUAAGAGCAAAAACCCAAUUGCAUAGAUUGUUAUAUGACAUACGUGUCCAGAUGGUUAGGCCGGCUUAGCUUUAUUCCGGGAUUUGGAUCUGCUGAGCUACAGUACAUGAUUUUGGCAUAUAUCUUGCUGGUUUUGCAUGCAGAUUUACCUGAUGAACUCUUGCUUUGUAAUCUCUGACAGCUAUUUCUCCAGUGCUUGAUGAGCUGCACUAUGUGCCCAGCAUGCAGUAUUCACCUCCACAGGCAUGCAAAAAGAGGCAGAAGCACAGGAGCAAAUGUAGUCUAAGAGAACUGAUAGCUGCAUUUGAUCUGAUUUGCCUAAAAUAACAGGCCACGGUUGAUAAAAGUAUUUCAAAAAGAACAAACAUAGAAAUGUAUCUGGCCCCACCUUGCCUGAAAUGGUUGUGUGUUUGGGCAUCAACAGCAGUGUUUACUGUGACGCUUAAGUGAUGCUUCCAAGGUGUUCUGGAUCAUCUUUCACGAUCCUAGGAUUCGGUAUUACGUUAAUGGCUAAACUCAGUCCAUCCUGAAAAAAAAAAAACCUAUAACAAGAUCAGUGUUAUGAAGGGUAACUUUAGUAACAUUAUUUUUUGACGUGCACUUUUGCUCAGCGUGGACCAUAGCCACGGUCUCACUUAACAGAAGCAUUACACAAGAGCAAUUGGAUAAGAUUCCCAUCUGGUUUUUGGUCUCCCAUUGUAGCAAGUUUGGAAUCCUGGAGCUGAUUUUGUCUAGCAAAUGGCUACGUACUGUCUAGUCUUCCUGUACAACAGAAAAACAAAUGCAGGCCUCAGAAACUUUUUAUGGACAAGGAUGUCUACUCGCCAGACAUGCAUUAUGGACUUUCUCUCAAGAGGAGAUGCAAGGAGGUGGGAGCACUGUGAUAGGGGCUUUUCUCCCAGGGCUGGCUCAUGCAGAGCAUCCCAGCACACUUUCUGUGAAGCAAAUGGGCUCCUGACGUCCUGUGUGCAAUGGGAGACCCUCUUCUGGAGCUGCGCAAUGGAUUAGCUGGCUUUGGGAGCUUCUUUCCAAGCCUCAUUUCUUAUUUAGUUUCCUAAGAGGAAAUGAGACUCCUAUUAUUUUGGUCUGAUGCUCUCAUCAGCAUGAAAAAUUACGAUGUGAAAAUAUUUGGUAAUGAUUUUCUUCUAAUUGAAACCAAGGAAAAAAAAAAAAAAAAGAAGAAGAAGAAGAAAUUGCAUCUCCAAGCUCUCCAGCUUUUUUCAUUUUGGGACAUGCUGCCUGGAUUCACUUCCACUUGCCAUUGUGUCCCAGCUACUGCCAAUCGUUUGGAUGUGGAGCAAGAAGAGCCUCCAACAGGCAAACUGCAACAGUGAGCUUAUUGGCACAGCUUUUUCCAACAGUUAUCCACCACCAGUUGGUUUAUACAUCGAAG
Cygnus atratus (black swan) is the source of this 1596-nucleotide long non-coding RNA. RefSeq lists it as uncharacterized. The transcript is spliced from 3 exons. The record is from RefSeq and is a predicted model, not a curated record. Lineage: Eukaryota; Metazoa; Chordata; Aves; Anseriformes; Anatidae.